Molecule: ribosomal RNA, 672 nt
Filed under: uncultured bacterium
Lineage: Bacteria
Description: bacterial SSU rRNA
Rfam family: Bacterial small subunit ribosomal RNA
Source: RNAcentral
UUCGGGAUCGAUGAGAGUGGCGCACGGGUGCGUAACGCGUAUGCAACCUACCUCAUACUUUGGGAUAGCCCGGGGAAACCCGGAUUAAUACCGGAUGGCACAUUGGUUUCGCAUGGGACCGAUGUUAAAGAUUUAUCGGUAUAAGCUGGGCAUGCGUAGGAUUAGUUAGUUGGCGGGGUAACGGCCCACCAAGACUGUGAUCCUUAGGGGUUCUGAGAGGAAGGUCCCCCACACUGGCACUGAGAUACGGGCCAGACUCCUACGGGAGGCAGCAGUAGGGAAUAUUGGGCAAUGGGCGGAAGCCUGACCCAGCCAUGCCGCGUGCAGGAAGACGGCGUUCUGCGUUGUAAACUGCUUUUAUCAUGGAAGAAGAGGCCCAUGCGUGGGAAAUUGCCGGUACCUGGUGAAUAAGCACCGGCUAACUCCGUGCCAGCAGCCGCGGUAAUACGGAGGGUGCGAGCGUUGUCCGGAUUUAUUGGGUUUAAAGGGUGCGUAGGCGGCUUUUUAAGUCAGAGGUGAAAGUUUACGGCUCAACCGGAAAAAUGCCGUUGAUACUGGGGAGCUUGAGUCACGGAAGGGUACAUGGAAUUGGCGGUGUAGCGGCAAAUGCGUAGAUACCUUCAGGAACACCGAUAGCUUAAGCAUCGUACUUGCCGUGAACUGACGCUGAGG